This 867-nucleotide long non-coding RNA is filed under the name Musa acuminata (dwarf banana). Its description in RNAcentral is "long non-coding RNA (MACU_LNC003368)". Lineage: Eukaryota; Viridiplantae; Streptophyta; Magnoliopsida; Zingiberales; Musaceae. The record is from RNAcentral.
UUGAAUACUAUAAAUAUGACAUGAAACAAGAUAGAUGAUGAACAUAUGAGAGACUAUCCUAUCGAGGUCCAACCAUCGAACUCUUCCAUCCGAAUGCGUUUGAACUUCUUGCUUCCGAGUGACAUCACAUCGAACGCGACAAGACUCGGAAGAAGAAACGAGGUCGGAGCGACGAUCAAAAUUUGCACCGACGAUAUAUCAAUCGGAUACUUGGAAUUCUGGGUUGGAUCAGCAAAUACCAGCAGGCCUUAUAAUUGAAUUACUUAUUACCAUUCAACGAUCGGUUUGUUUGUAUCUUGGUCUGGAAAACUGUCGACCUUCGGAAGGACGUAACUUUAGAUUCAAAUCUCUCUGCUUCUUUCUCUUGGAGAAGAAACAAUCACUGGUUUUUGCUGGGUGUCGGAGCUUCACGUCGCCAUGGCGAACUCAAAUCUCCUUCGCCGAACAGAGUUGGUGGAGAGGUAGGUCCACGCCACGGGCGCCGCUGCCGCUGAGCCAUUUGCUUCGCCAUUAACGUGCUCUGCUGUCCUUUUUAUCUCUUCUCUCGCUGCACUGGCGCUCUUAAUGGCGUCCCUGCACCCGACUGCUGCUACUUGGAUGGCAUCACCACUACUAUCCGAAGGCCAAGGCUCAGAGAGCAGGCCACGAUGAUGAUGCCCACCACCCAUUUCAAUGGCAAUGUUGUCAUCGUUCUACUCUUGGGGUAUGUAUGAGUCAAUUAAUAUCAUCAUAACUAUCCUAUGGUCCACCGUGGUGUGCAUCAACAAAGUGCAUGAAAGAAGCACUGCUUUAUUUAUGGAUCUCGCUGAGGAACACAUGCAUGAUUUUAUAUUUGAGGAAACUAAGCCAUCGACCGACCGACCGACC